GAAAAAUCAGUAACAACUGUAUAUAUUUUAUAAAAAAUAAAAUAUUACGGGAAAAUAUUGUACUGGCUUAGCGUCAGGUAGCAGGAAUAUGGGCAAAAUCUGACAGUUAGAGGAAUAUCUCAGGGAGUGCAGCACAUGUCAGUGUUGUCAGAUGUUACACGGUAGCUGUCAUAGUUUUGACUGAUGUACAAGCACUACCUGCUCAUGUUUGCCCUUCCUUUCUGUGGAGUGCAUGCAGGUAAUACCAAAAGAAAUGAAAUCACAGAAAUUAAUGGUGCAAAUGGUUUUGCACUGCUCAAGAAAAGGAGCCACUUUUCACUCAAAGGAAUGUGGUUCAGUCACACCUCUUCAAGGAAUGAUAGCAUCUCUGUGGUUUCUAUGAACUCCAAUGUCUUCAGGAUAUCUGCUGUGAAAAUUGUGCAUCCACAAGAACUGAAGCUCUCUGGCAAUCCCUGGAGUUAAGCAAGUCUGCAUUUUGAAGUGUAUGAAAAGCAGCAUAAGAGUAUUACAAUGUUUGAAGCAGAAUUUGGUCUUGGUGUCUUUCAUUCCUUUCAGAAACUUUAUUGACUUCUAUUUCUUAAAACCUAGGUAAGGUCCUGAUUUUAAUCUCUCACUAGGACCAGCAGUGCCUUCUCUGGAUCUUUGUUCUACAACAGCACCUCAACAAGUGCUUACAUUUCACCGAAGGAAUUGCAGCAUAAGGAUACCUUUGCAGUUAAGCACAAAGUCACAUAUAUUUGUGGAUGGAUAUAAUCUACAUAUAUGCUUUAGUGCUUUGUUGAAAUAAGGCCUGCGCAGUAAAUAUAUGUAAAGAUAACAGAAUACAGGAGAAAAUCCUCAACACAUGGAAAUUGAAGCAACAUUCUUAAGUGGAGGGUAGUUUUACUGCAGGAUUCGAGGGUAAAAGCAUAAACUGAGGAGCCAUCCUUGGCAAAUCUGAGUGAGCUUUAUAUGUAUGUAUCUCUUUUGGUGUCUGCUGUUGUAAGUUGCUAAGUAUAUAUCAAUGUUCAGCUGAGUUGAAAUUUAGAGUUGCAUAUUUUGAAAGACCUUAAUGAAGAUGUCUUACUCUUUAAAAUAACCUUUUAUUAACAAUAAUGACAAAUGCAACAUUUUAUG
This is a long non-coding RNA of Hirundo rustica (Barn swallow), 1116 nucleotides long. RefSeq lists it as uncharacterized. NCBI's taxonomy places the organism in Eukaryota, Metazoa, Chordata, Aves, Passeriformes, Hirundinidae. The record is from RefSeq and is a predicted model, not a curated record. The transcript has 5 exons.